Molecule: long non-coding RNA, 473 nt
Organism: Labrus mixtus (cuckoo wrasse)
Lineage: Eukaryota; Metazoa; Chordata; Actinopteri; Labriformes; Labridae
Exons: 3
Source: RefSeq, a predicted model, not a curated record
UAUAAUCUUUCUUAAAAUGCAAGGAAGACUAGCAGAAGAUUUUAACAGCCUCUAUGGUUCUGCAAGAAGUCUAGUUCAUGUUUAAAUUGUUCUUCUUUCUGUCUUCAAGGAAAUCAAUGCCCAAAGGAAACAACAGUCCAGACUCUGAUUCCAGCUCCGGUGAGGUUCUGCACACAAAUUGUCUGUCUGAUUCUUUUAUUGGGCUCACUGACUUGAAGAGAGAGGACACUUGGCUUCCAUGUACGAGACACACAAGUCCCAGAUUGAAUCACUCUAUCAGAAGAUGCCUUCAGAUUCAGAUCCAUCAGCAACCCCUGACAACAUGGAGGACUCGUCCCCUGAGCGUUUCCUGUCCUCUCUCGAUGGAGUUCUUCUCUUCAGUUAUUAACUCUUGAAAACAGUAGCACAACAUGCCAGACUGUUUGACAAGUCUGUGAUUGAAUAAAUUGAAAUGUCUUGCUAUGCUUAUUGGC